RNAcentral lists this ribosomal RNA (31 nucleotides) under Myrcianthes cisplatensis. RNAcentral describes it as "partial 18S ribosomal RNA". The record is from RNAcentral. Lineage: Eukaryota; Viridiplantae; Streptophyta; Magnoliopsida; Myrtales; Myrtaceae.
UCGAAUCCUGCCUAACAGAAUGACCAGAGAA